CUCCCCUCUUGAUCUUGGCUGUUAUAGAAGAGCAGAAUAAUUCUCCUCCUGGAUUUCCCCAUCUCCCAGUUGCUCUCUUUCUCCCUUUAGAUCUGAGUCACUUUACAGCUUGGUUUGGAGCUGAUUCUUCUUCUUGGAGAGAAAGGGUUGGGGCUAUUGUUAUCUGCAUUUUACCCAUGAGAAAACGGAAGCAAACAGAGGCUAAGCGAUUCCUCCAGAGUCACACAGUUGGCAUAUGUCUGAGAUUCGACUCCAGUUUUAUCCACUGUUAACCUGCUAAGCUAAGGAGAUGGAAAUGUCUUCCUAGCCAUGUUCUCAACAGUUGGACCAGAGACUUUUCCUUCAGUGCUUAAUUCUGUCAUCUCUUGAAUUCUUGCCCUGAAGUCCUAUUCUUCUGAUUGGUGAGUUCUUCAUGUAUAGCCCACUAAAUCUAGGUUAGCUUGAUAUAUGCUUCAAAUUACUCCCUGGCUACCUUCUCACUAACUACCUUGCUGCCCUGUAAAUGAUGUCUUCUGCCUUCUUCCCCACCUCUGUUUCCUCCUCCCC
Molecule: long non-coding RNA, 546 nt
Filed under: Monodelphis domestica (gray short-tailed opossum)
Lineage: Eukaryota; Metazoa; Chordata; Mammalia; Didelphimorphia; Didelphidae
Description: lncRNA (ENSMODG00000039926.1)
Source: RNAcentral